UCAGGAUGAACGCUAGCGGGAGGCCUAACACAUGCAGCCGAGCGGUAGAGAUUCUUCGGAAUCUUGAGAGCGGCGUACGGGUGCGGAACACGUGUGCAACCUGCCUUUAUCAGGGGGAUAGCCUUUCGAAAGGAAGAUUAAUACCCCAUAAUAUAUUAAGUGGCAUCACUUGAUAUUGAAAACUCCGGUGGAUAAAGAUGGGCACGCGCAAGAUUAGAUAGUUGGUAGGGUAACGGCCUACCAAGUCAGUGAUCUUUAGGGGGCCUGAGAGGGUGAUCCCCCACACUGGUACUGAGACACGGACCAGACUCCUACGGGAGGCAGCAGUGAGGAAUAUUGGACAAUGGGUGAGAGCCUGAUCCAGCCAUCCCGCGUGAAGGAUGACGGCCCUAUGGGUUGUAAACUUCUUUUGUAUAGGGAUAAACCUUUCCACGUGUGGAAAGCUGAAGGUACUAUACGAAUAAGCACCGGCUAACUCCGUGCCAGCAGCCGCGGUAAUACGGAGGGUGCAAGCGUUAUCCGGAUUUAUUGGGUUUAAAGGGUCCGUAGGCGGAUCUGUAAGUCAGUGGUGAAAUCUCACAGCUUAACUGUGAAACUGCCAUUGAUACUGCAGGUCUUGAGUAAGGUAGAAGUAGCUGGAAUAAGUAGUGUAGCGGUGAAAUGCAUAGAUAUUACUUAGAACACCAAUUGCGAAGGCAGGUUACUAUGUCUUAACUGACGCUGAUGGACGAAAGCGUGGGGAGCGAACAGGAUUAGAUACCCUGGUAGUCCACGCCGUAAACGAUGCUAACUCGUUUUUGGGUCUUCGGAUUCAGAGACUAAGCGAAAGUGAUAAGUUAGCCACCUGGGGAGUACGUUCGCAAGAAUGAAACUCAAAGGAAUUGACGGGGGCCCGCACAAGCGGUGGAUUAUGUGGUUUAAUUCGAUGAUACGCGAGGAACCUUACCAAGGCUUAAAUGGGAAUUGAUCGGUUUAGAAAUAGACCUUCCUUCGGGCAAUUUUCAAGGUGCUGCAUGGUUGUCGUCAGCUCGUGCCGUGAGGUGUUAGGUUAAGUCCUGCAACGAGCGCAACCCCUGUCACUAGUUGCCAUCAUUAAGUUGGGGACUCUAGUGAGACUGCCUACGCAAGUAGAGAGGAAGGUGGGGAUGACGUCAAAUCAUCACGGCCCUUACGCCUUGGGCCACACACGUAAUACAAUGGCCGGUACAGAGGGCAGCUACACAGCGAUGUGAUGCAAAUCUCGAAAGCCGGUCUCAGUUCGGAUUGGAGUCUGCAACUCGACUCUAUGAAGCUGGAAUCGCUAGUAAUCGCGCAUCAGCCAUGGCGCGGUGAAUACGUUCCCGGGCCUUGUACACACCGCCCGUCAAGCCAUGGAAGUCUGGGGUACCUGAAGUCGGUGACCGUAAAAGGAGCUGCCUAGGGUAAAACAGGUAACUAGGGCUAAGUCGUAACAAGGUA
This 1458-nucleotide ribosomal RNA is filed under the name Chryseobacterium sp. RNAcentral describes it as "bacterial SSU rRNA". It matches the Rfam family "Bacterial small subunit ribosomal RNA". Lineage: Bacteria; Pseudomonadati; Bacteroidota; Flavobacteriia; Flavobacteriales; Weeksellaceae. The record is from RNAcentral.